Molecule: ribosomal RNA, 253 nt
Filed under: uncultured bacterium
Lineage: Bacteria
Description: partial 16S ribosomal RNA
Rfam family: Bacterial small subunit ribosomal RNA
Source: RNAcentral
UACGGAGGGUGCAAGCGUUAUCCGGAUUCACUGGGUUUAAAGGGUGCGUAGGCGGGCAGGUAAGUCAGUGGUGAAAUCUCCGGGCUUAACCCGGAAACUGCCAUGGAUACUAUGUGUCUUGAAUGUUGUGGAGGUGAGCGGAAUAUGUCAUGUAGCGGUGAAAUGCUUAGAUAUGACAUAGAACACCAAUUGCGAAGGCAGCUCACUACACAAAUAUUGACGCUGAGGCACGAAAGCGUGGGGAUCAAACAGG